AGGGAGUUUGAUCAUGGCUCAGGAUGAACGCUGGCGGCGUGCCUAAUACAUGCAAGUAGAACGCUGAAGCUUGGUGCUUGCACCGAGCGGAUGAGUUGCGAACGGGUGAGUAACGCGUAGGUAACCUGCCUGGUAGCGGGGGAUAACUAUUGGAAACGAUAGCUAAUACCGCAUAACAGUAGAUAUUGCAUGAUAUCUGCUUGAAAGGGGCAAUUGCUCCACUACCAGAUGGACCUGCGUUGUAUUAGCUAGUUGGUGAGGUAACGGCUCACCAAGGCGACGAUACAUAGCCGACCUGAGAGGGUGAUCGGCCACACUGGGACUGAGACACGGCCCAGACUCCUACGGGAGGCAGCAGUAGGGAAUCUUCGGCAAUGGACGGAAGUCUGACCGAGCAACGCCGCGUGAGUGAAGAAGGUUUUCGGAUCGUAAAGCUCUGUUGUAAGAGAAGAACGAGUGUGAGAGUGGAAAGUUCACACUGUGACGGUAUCUUACCAGAAAGGGACGGCUAACUACGUGCCAGCAGCCGCGGUAAUACGUAGGUCCCGAGCGUUAUCCGGAUUUA
RNAcentral lists this ribosomal RNA (565 nucleotides) under uncultured bacterium. Its description in RNAcentral is "bacterial SSU rRNA". It matches the Rfam family "Bacterial small subunit ribosomal RNA", at positions 1 to 553 of the family's 1533-position model. The record is from RNAcentral.